This 460-nucleotide ribosomal RNA is filed under the name uncultured bacterium. Its description in RNAcentral is "partial 16S ribosomal RNA". It matches the Rfam family "Bacterial small subunit ribosomal RNA", at positions 338 to 795 of the family's 1533-position model. The record is from RNAcentral.
CCUACGGGCGGCAGCAGUGAGGAAUAUUGGUCAAUGGACGAAAGUCUGAACCAGCCAAGUAGUGUGAAGGAUGACUGCCCUAUGGGUUGUAAACUUCUUUUAUAUGGGAAUAAAGUGUUCCACGUGUGGGAUUUUGUAUGUACCAUAUGAAUAAGGAUCGGCUAACUCCGUGCCAGCAGCCGCGGUAAUACGGAGGAUCCGAGCGUUAUCCGGAUUUAUUGGGUUUAAAGGGAGCGUAGGUGGAUUGUUAAGUCAGAUGUGAAAGUUUGGGGCUCAACCGUCAAACUGCAGUUGAAACUGGCAGUCUUGAGUACAGGAGAGGUGGGCGGAAUUCGUGGUGUAGCGGUGAAAUGCGUAGAUAUCACGAAGAACACCGAUUGCGAAGGCAGCUCACUGGACUGCAACUGACGCUGAGGCGCGAAAGUGUGGGUAGCAAACAGGAUUAGAUACCCCAGUAGUC